This 120-nucleotide ribosomal RNA is filed under the name Penicillium steckii. The record is from RNAcentral. Lineage: Eukaryota; Fungi; Ascomycota; Eurotiomycetes; Eurotiales; Aspergillaceae.
ACAUACGACCAUAGGGUGUGGAGAACAGGGCUUCCCGUCCUCUCAGCCGUACUUAAGCCACACGCCGGCAGGUUAGUAGUAUGGUGGGUGACCACAUGCGAAUCCCUGCUGUUGUAUGUU